Molecule: long non-coding RNA, 983 nt
Filed under: Sus scrofa (pig)
Lineage: Eukaryota; Metazoa; Chordata; Mammalia; Artiodactyla; Suidae
Description: lncRNA (ENSSSCG00070013756.1)
Source: RNAcentral
UCGAGUGGAGGGGACGCGCCUCCCUCCGUCUCCAGCCUGUCGUGUCACCAGUCUGCACAGCCUGUGCUAAGGCAGGUGGACAGUUUAUAGGCAGGUCCACACUUACCUGACAUGAUGGGCAGACCUGCAGCCCCCACACCUAAGAAAGCCACAUGGGCAGCAGGGGAGGGUCGCACCCUAGGUCCUCGCCCUGGUGAGAGCCGGGGCCAGAGCUGGUCUCCUCCCCCUGGGCCCUGGGGCUGCAGAAGCUGCUCUUGGAUGCAACUGCACCCAGUGGAGGGACUCUGAGUUCUGGAAACUUCGGAAAGUCGUUCUGCAUUGGGGUUGGUUAAAAAGAGGCAGCUGAGCUGAGAAAACACCGUUCACUCAACUUCCCUCCUGCCCCCUGUGCCUGGUUCUUCCAGGUGGCAACUCUGUCACCCGUACAACAAAAGCAGAUCGUUUCCGUAAGUGUGAUUCAUUUAUUAAUUUUUUUUUUUGUCUUUUUGUCUUUUCUAGGGCCGCUCCUGCGGCAUAUGGAGGUUCCCAGGCUAGGGGUUGAAUCGGAGCUGUAGCUGCCGGCCUCCACCACAGCCACAGCAAUGCCAGAUCCGAGCCGUGUCUGCAACCUACACCACAGCUCACGGCAACGCCGGAUCCUUAACCCACUGAGUGAGGCCAGGGAUGGAACCCGCAACCUCAUGGUUCCUCGUUGGAUUCAGUAACCACUGGGCCACGAUGGGAAUUCUGUGAUCCAUUUAUUAAUAAUUUCCCUUUUUGUGUCUCACAGGCGGGCAGGUUGCUUCACCCUGUCGGCUCAUCAUGUCCCCUUCUUUCUUCGUGCAGAGUUUCACAGUCUCGCUGGUAUGGCAAUUCUUUUCACGGCUGAUUUCAGCCCCCGCUUUCCUAAGGUCUGGUGUUUUAAACACAUUUUCUUGGAGCCUCAACAUGUUCUAUGCAUUUUUCACAGCAUGGACGUUCUCGUCACUGCUGAGCAAAGCAGG